This 30-nucleotide non-coding RNA is filed under the name Mus musculus (house mouse). Lineage: Eukaryota; Metazoa; Chordata; Mammalia; Rodentia; Muridae. The record is from RNAcentral.
UAGAAUUGGUAAGAAACAUGCUGGCUUCUC